AUGUGGGUGGCUCAGUCGGUUGAGCAUCUGACUUUGGCUCAGGUCAUGAUCUCGCAGGUCAUGAGUCGGAGCCCCACAUC
Molecule: transfer RNA, 80 nt
Filed under: Felis catus (domestic cat)
Lineage: Eukaryota; Metazoa; Chordata; Mammalia; Carnivora; Felidae
Source: Rfam by way of RNAcentral